Molecule: ribosomal RNA, 406 nt
Filed under: uncultured bacterium
Lineage: Bacteria
Description: partial 16S ribosomal RNA
Rfam family: Bacterial small subunit ribosomal RNA
Source: RNAcentral
AUUGAACGCUGGCGGCAGGCCUAACACAUGCAAGUCGAACGAGUGGCGGACGGGUGAGUAAUGUCUGGGACUCUGACUGAUGGAGGGGGAUAACUAACGGAAACGGUAGCUAAUAACGUACUCCAUCAGCUGUGCCCAGAUGGGAUUAGCUUGUUGGUGGGGUAACGGCACACCAAGGCGACGAUCCCUAGCUGGUCUGAGAGGAUGACCAGCCACACUGGAACUGAGACACGGUCCAGACUCCUACGUGAGGCAGCAGUGGGGAAUAUUGCACAAUGGGCGCAAGCCUGAUGCAGCCAUGCCGCGUGUAUGAAGAAGGCCUUCGGGUUGUAAAGUACUUUCAGCGGGGAGGCGUUACCCGCAGAAUAAGCACCGGCUAACUCCGUGCCAGCAGCCGCGGUAAUUC